Molecule: ribosomal RNA, 403 nt
Filed under: Nematoda environmental sample
Lineage: Eukaryota; Metazoa; Nematoda
Description: SSU rRNA
Rfam family: Eukaryotic small subunit ribosomal RNA
Source: RNAcentral
UGCUUGUCUCAAAGAUUAAGCCAUGCAUGUCUAAGCAUAAACCGAAUAUGGUAAAGCCGCGAAUGGCUCAUUACAACAGCCAUAUUUUAUUGGAUCUUAGAGUCCUACUUGGAUACCUGUGGUAAUUCUAGAGCUAAUACACGCAAUCAAGCCUCAACCUUACGGGCGGGGCGCAUUUAUUAGAACAAAACCAAUUGGCUUCGGCCAUAGAUUGGUGAAUCUGAAUAACUACGCUGAUCGCACGGGCUUGUCCCGGCGACGUAUCCUUCAAGUGUCUGCCUUAUCAACUUUCGAUGGUAGUUUAUAUGACUACCAUGGUUGUAACGGGUAACGGAGAAUAAGGGUUCGACUCCGGAGAGGGAGCCUGAGAAACGGCUACCACAUCCRAGGAAGGCAGCAGGCA